AGUGAACGCUGGCGGUAGGCCUAACACAUGCAAGUCGAACGGCAGCACAGUAAGAGCUUGCUCUUACGGGUGGCGAGUGGCGGACGGGUGAGGAAUACAUCGGAAUCUACUUUUUCGUGGGGGACAACGUAGGGAAACUUACGCUAAUACCGCAUACGACCUACGGGUGAAAGCAGGGGAUCUUCGGACCUUGCGCGAUUGAAUGAGCCGAUGUCGGAUUAGCUAGUUGGCGGGGUAAAGGCCCACCAAGGCGACGCUCCGUAGCUGGUCUGACAGGAUGAUCAGCCACACUGGAACUGAGACACGGUCCAAACUCCUACGGAAGGCAGAGGUGGGAAAUAUUGGACAAUGGGCGCAAGCCUAAUCCAGCCAGACCGCGUGGGUGAAGAAGGCCUUCGGUUUGUAAAGCCCUUUUGUUGGGAAAGAAAAGCAGCAGGUUAAUACCCCGCUGUUCUGACGGAACCCAAAGAAUAAGCACCGGCUAACUUCGU
RNAcentral lists this ribosomal RNA (491 nucleotides) under uncultured bacterium. RNAcentral's name for it is "partial 16S ribosomal RNA". It matches the Rfam family "Bacterial small subunit ribosomal RNA", at positions 29 to 506 of the family's 1533-position model. The record is from RNAcentral.